This 483-nucleotide ribosomal RNA is filed under the name uncultured bacterium. RNAcentral's name for it is "bacterial SSU rRNA". It matches the Rfam family "Bacterial small subunit ribosomal RNA", at positions 29 to 509 of the family's 1533-position model. The record is from RNAcentral.
AUGAACGCUAGCGGCAGGCUUAACACAUGCAAGUCGAGGGGCAGCAUACCGGUGACGGGUGAUGGCGACCGGCGGAAGGGUGAGUAACGCGUGAGCAACAUACCCGUAUCAGUGGAUAAUACAGGGAAACUUGUUCUAAUAUCACAUAAUAUUAUUCAGAGGCAUCUUUGGAUAAUUAAAGUUCAGGCGGAUACGGAAUGGCUCGCGUGACAUUAGCUAGAUGGUAGGGUAAAGGCCUACCAUGGCUAUGAUGUCUAGGGGUUCUGAGAGGGAGGUCCCCCACACUGGAACUGAGACACGGUCCAGACUCCUACGGGAGGCAGCAGUGAGGAAUAUUGGACAAUGGAUGAAAAUCUGAUCCAGCCAUGCCGCGUGCAGGAAGGCGGCCCUAUGGGUUGUAAACUGCUUUUGUACGGGAGCAAUAAGGUCUACGAGUAGAUUGAUGAGAGUACUGUACGAAUAAGCAUCGGCUAACUCCGUGCC